AGCGAACGCUGGCGGCAGGCCUAACACAUGCAAGUCGAACGAACUCUUCGGAGUUAGUGGCGGACGGGUGAGUAACACGUGGGAACGUGCCUUUUGGUUCGGAAUAACUCAGGGAAACUUGUGCUAAUACCGAAUGUGCCCUUCGGGGGAAAGAUUUAUCGCCAUUAGAGCGGCCCGCGUCUGAUUAGCUAGUUGGUGAGGUAACGGCUCACCAAGGCGACGAUCAGUAGCUGGUCUGAGAGGAUGACCAGCCACACUGGGACUGAGACACGGACCCGACUCCUACGGGAGGCAGCAGUGGGGAAUCUUGCGCAAUGGGCGAAAGCCUGACGCAGCCAUGCCGCGUGAAUGAUGAAGGUCUUAGGAUUGUAAAAUUCUUUCACCGGGGACGAUAAUGACGGUACCCGGAGAAGAAGCCCCGGCUAACUUCGUG
Molecule: ribosomal RNA, 433 nt
Filed under: uncultured bacterium
Lineage: Bacteria
Description: partial 16S ribosomal RNA
Rfam family: Bacterial small subunit ribosomal RNA
Source: RNAcentral